This is a non-coding RNA of Microcebus murinus (gray mouse lemur), 1932 nucleotides long. Lineage: Eukaryota; Metazoa; Chordata; Mammalia; Primates; Cheirogaleidae. The record is from RefSeq and is a predicted model, not a curated record.
UCCUGGGCUCAAGUGAUCCUUCUGCCUCAGCCUCCUGAGUAGCUGGGAUUGUAGGCCUGCUACAGGCUGACAUAGUUCAAAAUUUUAAAGUCACAAAAAAGUAUAUAAUGAAAAUGCUUGCCCCAGUUUCUUGGGUAUUCAUCCAGAGACAACCUUUAGCACACACAAGCAGACAGGCAUAGGCAUUGUUUUCUCUGUUGUCCUCUUUUACCCAGGUGGGAGUGCGCCCUUUCAUCCGUUCAUCAGGAAUUGAAGCCAGCUCUUCCGCUCCUUGGUUUGGUUGUUUUGUUUUCCCACUUCACGGUGUCUCUAGCAUAUGGCUCCCUAUUCCUACAUCAACGGUUCUGGCUCUUUGUUCUCUCCACCGUCUUCCAUCACAUGGCCACACCGUAAGUGUGGGACCGGUCCCUACGGAGGGCACCUCCAACCCUUCGUCAUUCUUACAAACAACGCCACCGAGGUCAUGUCACAAAUGUGCACGCAUAGCUGGACUUUAGGUUUCUAGAAGCAGAAUUGCUGGGUCAAAGAAUGUGUGCCUUGAGUAGGUAUUGCCAAAGUGCCCUCCGGGGAGGCUGUAUCGGUUUACAGUCCCUCUGGCAAAGCGUGAGGGUGACUUUGCUCGCCCGUGCCAGGCAAGUGUGUCCUCACCGCUCUCAUCCUUGCCAGUCUGCUCGGUGGAACACUCCGGCGCAGUUUUGAUUUGCGAUCUCUCAUCCUCAGUGAGGCUGAGCAUCUUGUCAGCUACGGCUGGCCCUCGUCCUCUCCCCACACCGCCCGAGGCCAUGGCCUUGCCCAUCACCGGCUCUGCAAGACCGGGGCCUAGAUUUGUGUUUCUAUCUUCCGGCUUCUCGCUGAGUCACUCCCAAGAAGGACAGGGCGGCAGGGUCAGGUUAUUUCUGCCCGAGUCAUCUGAGCUGCCGGUCCUGGGAAGCCUUUGGCCUCUGGCUUUCUCCGUGGGUGCCCAGAACCUGUGCCUUGCACCUGUCAGACCCAGGCUUCCUGGUCCCCUGCGAGAGACGGGGGCUUGCAAGUAGGGAUCAGAGAAACUCUCUGCUUCUGAUGGGCUCCUGUGAUUGGAUCAGCUCUGCUCAGAUAAUCACUCUACUUACAGAUCAACUGAUUAGAUCAAGGAGCCACCUACACCCACCUGACCAGCGUCACCCAAGGGAGCCAGCCUGAAUCUGGCCUCUCUUGGGCUCAAAAGAAUCCGGAUCACAAUAGCUUGCUUGCCUGAAAAACUGGGAUGACACUCGUGGCUGUUGGUGAGAGACUGACUGUGCAAAUGGACAAUGGCCAGACCAGAUAUAAAAAUAGAGCUCUGACCCACAAUCCGAGGCAACCGGCCCGGGAAGCCAGCCUGCUGUCCACACGUCAGACCACCAGCUCUAACGACCGGUCCAGAAAGCCAGACGUGGCCCGACGUGACCAGGACUUGAUUUGUAACGGACUGUGUCCCUAAUUCUUGCCCCUGCUUCCGACUUGUCCUCAUUUCCAAGAAAAAGCCAAGCAUGUUCCCCCUUACCAGUCCCACAGGACACCCCACUUCUAGUUAGCUGCCUCCUGUCCAUCAAGACACAUGUCCUCUGCCUGCCUCUGAGUCCCUCCCAAACACAGGCGGCGGUGGCUGCCCCCCUGGGACAGCGAGCCCUGGGUAAUAGCCGUUGCGUGCUCUCAUUUGGGUGGUCUUCAUUUAUUUCCACAUUGGGGUUAGAGGAUUCAGAGAAUGUGGAAGAGUUGGUUAAAGAGUCCAGAACUCUAGAAAUGUCAGGCGGAAAGGUCCAAGGUCAGUACCAGAGGAGGCAUUCAGAGAAGGGCAGCAGCCAGGGACUGACGUCACCUGAGCUCGCACAUGGACGGCAGAGAGCCCUGCGGGACAGGCCCCUGCACCUGCACUCCGAGUGCCAGUCAUGGCAAAGGUGCAAGUGGGAGAAG